Molecule: small RNA, 1011 nt
Filed under: Pan troglodytes (chimpanzee)
Lineage: Eukaryota; Metazoa; Chordata; Mammalia; Primates; Hominidae
Description: retained intron
Source: RNAcentral
UGGAUGCAGGUCUGUGGCCUCAGAGUCAGGGCCCCUUGCUGCUGCAGGACCGCAGGGUCAGGGAGGGGCCUGCUGUUCCAGCAAGACUUUGGGGUGCAGCCGGCCUGUGGCCCACAGGAAAAUGAGACCUGUGGACAUCCGGGGCCCUGCCAGACGUGGCUCGGCCGGACGAGGGUGGUCACUGCAGGCGCAGGUGUGGCUCCCUGCCGGACCCAGCCUUUCCUCUGUCCUGUGUGCCUGGACCUCUGUGACUUCCCAGCUGGGCCUGUGGUGUUUGGGAGGCUCCCAGGCAGCUGCAAAGGGGACCCCUGUGAGGGGCAGGGAGGCCUCGGCCCCACGACGGGUGUGUGCUGCCUGCAGGUACUUCUGUCAGCUGAUUGACGGCCUGGAGUACCUGCACAGCCAGGGCAUUGUGCACAAGGACAUCAAGCCCGGGAACCUGCUGCUUACCACCGGUGGCACCCUCAAAAUCUCCGACCUGGGCGUGGCCGAGGUAGGCACGUGCUAGGGGGGGCCCUGGGGCGCCCCCUCCCGGGCACUCCCUGAGGGCUGCACGGCACCGCCACAGGCACUGCACCCGUUCGCGGCGGACGACACCUGCCGGACCAGCCAGGGCUCCCCGGCUUUCCAGCCGCCCGAGAUUGCCAACGGCCUGGACACCUUCUCCGGCUUCAAGGUGGACAUCUGGUCAGCUGGGGUCACCCUCUACAACAUCACCACGGGUCUGUACCCCUUCGAAGGGGACAACAUCUACAAGUUGUUUGAGAACAUCGGGAAGGGGAGCUACGCCAUCCCGGGCGACUGUGGCCCCCCGCUCUCUGACCUGCUGAAAGGGAUGCUUGAGUACGAGCCGGCCAAGAGGUUCUCCAUCCGGCAGAUCCGGCAGCACAGCUGGUUCCGGAAGAAACAUCCUCCGGCUGAAGCACCAGUGCCCAUCCCACCGAGCCCAGACACCAAGGACCGGUGGCGCAGCAUGACUGUGGUGCCGUACUUGGAGGACCUGCACGGCGC